UAAAGUGUGGAGAUGGAAAUAGAUGAAGUGAACAGGACAACUGAAACAAAGUGAGAUCAUUGACUGGGGCAGGCAAGUUGCAGAGAUGAAAAGAGAGAUUUUUCAUUAUGAGAUUCGAAAGUCAGCAUCAGAAUUUUCAAUCUGGAGGAAUCCCAGGAUCAGUCUGAACAGAUAUGAGGCAGUCAUUGAUUCAGCUCAAUGUCACAAAUGGAUCUACAGACUCUCACGUACACCGAGACAAGAAGAUUGCAGGAAAUUCUGUCUUUGAUCAGAAACGGCACCUCUCAUUGCAAUUCACAGCUCCGAUAGUGCAUUCUAUUGGCAUUCCAACAGCUAAAUGUCACGUAGCUGGGCAACUGUCCUGCAGUCCCUGCUGUGAGCCAAAUGGGUCCUGAGGAAAUAAGCUCCUUGAUGUUUGAUUUUGUUUUCUCAGUCAGAGGUUGUAAGCAGAGAUGAGCAACCCACUCUGUAAACAAACCUGAUUUCAUUCCGUUGUACAAUUCUGCACAGGAUAAGUCUGAGCUGAAGUUGUCAAGCCAGCUGACAGCAGAUAUUGUCCAGUUUGUAAAUUUUCUAUUUCUAAUCUACAGACUUAUUUGUCUUUAUCCAAAAUCCCUCCAUUGAAGAGAUGUGGAUCAACCAGACCGCUACUCUGGUGUGUAUGAUUGUGGGUGCUGAUCUGAGCCAGGUCCAAAUCCACUGGAAGGUGAACGAGAGGGAGAAAAUCAAAGCAAAUGUGACCAAAAAACCGAGAGAGGAAGAAACCCAAGACACAGUGAUCAGCCAACUCCAGACCAGUGUGGAGGAGUGGACCAGUGGGGUGGAGUACACUUGCUCUGCCCAACAACCUUCUGCAACCUCACCAGUAUCAGCACGGACAAAAAGUACCAAAGUUCCACUGGAGACAAAAGGUCCCAAAGUCAGACUGCUGCCACCACCAGAGGGAGAGACCAAGAGUGGGAACACGGUCACCCUCGAGUGUGUUGCCUCUGGAUUCUACCCGGACCAAAUAACCGUCACCUGGGAGAAAGGGGACUCUCUGAUCUCUUCCAACACCAGUGUGAGACAAACUGCUCUGGAACAGGCAGGGACUUUCAUUGCCAGCUACGUCCUGACCGUGAGCACAGAGGAGUGGAAGGAAGGCUCAGUUUUCAGAUGCACAGUGUCUCAUCCCCCCUCCAACACCAGUGUCAGGCAGGAUGUGAAAAACAUUCAAGAAACCUGCACAGACUUGACAGGAGAGGAGGGGAAGGAAGAACAGGGACAUGUGGAUGGAGAUGACAAUGUGCUUACAGUUGCUGCCUUUGCCAUUCUGUUCAUCAUCAGUUUCCUCUACAGCACCUUCGUCACUGUUGUCAAGACUCAACCUGUGAAUUAACCUUCUGGGAGCCUUACACGAGGACUCGUAAGUCCCUUUGCACCUCUGUUGUUUGAACCUUUUCCCCAUUUAGAUAAUAGUUCGCACUAUUGUUCCAUUGUUCCAUAUCCGUUAAAGAUGCCGCCUGUAACCGGUGACUUUGGGCGAGCUCUCCCGGGCAAACGGCCCUCGCCACUGUCCUGUAACCGAGAAACCCUUCUAAAACUCCACUUUAGCAAGAUCAAGAUCAACAACACUCUGGCGAAGCUACUGACCCAGAUGGAGACCACCGCGCCAGAUCUGCUUCUUAAACUCCGGACCGCACCUGGACCCGACCACGUUCCCGGAGACCCGCGGUCUGCUACCGGGCCGGAGCGCUUGGAGACACGGCCCAUUCCGACCAGCACCUCUCCGGAGCAGGCGACCACACAGAAGUGACGGCGGAGACCUCAAGGU
Molecule: non-coding RNA, 1813 nt
Organism: Mobula hypostoma (lesser devil ray)
Lineage: Eukaryota; Metazoa; Chordata; Chondrichthyes; Myliobatiformes; Myliobatidae
Source: the annotation of a RefSeq genome assembly